AGAGAGUACUCACGGAGAGAAUUCUAUUCCUUAGAUGAUUCGGUGUAUUUGAGUAACAGUUCAUUGCAAUGUUAUUUUCAGGUUUCAAACGUUUUAGUACAAUUCCCUCUUAUUUUAAAAAUCUAAUUAUGUUUACAUCAAAAUUCUGUACAGAUCGAGAUGUCAGAAAUUAGAGACGCUUCUUAAAUCUCUAUAAAUCUCUAACCACUGUUCACUUACCGAAACUGGUGGUAACUGAUACUUGCUGCACAUUAAUUUUUUGUUGUAAUAGAGACCAUGACCACAGCCAUGCUUCAUGUUUUCACAAGGCUGUAGUAAUCCCAAGAAAACAACAACAACAACAACAAAAAAAAAAAAAAAAAAAAAAAAAAAGUGUGCUGAAAACUCAGAAUAAUAUGGCAUGGAUCUAAUAAAUUACCUGGAACUGGGUACUCAAUUCUGCUCUUCGACCAGCAAAGGAUGUUACAGUGCUAUGCAUUUGCAGGUCUUAGCUGGAGUCUGCAGAGACAGACAAAAGUGCCAACAUACAAAACAACAACAAAACAACAAUAAUAAUAAUAAUAAACAACUGCUAUUUCUGAACUGCCUGAAAUUUGGAAGAACUGUAAGUCUUGUGAGACUUGUCUCAGAAGGCUUAUCUGCCACAACAAAAAGAAAAAGGAGGCAAGGCACUAUUAUGGUCAAAUGCCAUAAAAACAUCAAUAAUAAGAGGUUUUUCAGUGCUAUUUGA
RNAcentral lists this long non-coding RNA (730 nucleotides) under Anas platyrhynchos platyrhynchos (common mallard). RNAcentral's name for it is "lncRNA (ENSAPLG00000018448.1)". Lineage: Eukaryota; Metazoa; Chordata; Aves; Anseriformes; Anatidae. The record is from RNAcentral.